AUUGCUUCUUGGCAUUUUGGUUAAGAUCAAGUGCAGUAUUUCUUGUAAUCAGUUUAAUAAAUACAUGGGAUAUAAACUGACUGGGCCUAUGAGAUAGCUUAGAGGCAAAAUUUUACUUCAAAAACUGAAAUUAUUAUGUAAGCUUCUAUGCUACAAAAGCCUUGCUCCCAGGCAUGGCACUGUAGCCUAGUGGCUAAAGUCCUC
Molecule: small nuclear RNA, 204 nt
Filed under: Ochotona princeps (American pika)
Lineage: Eukaryota; Metazoa; Chordata; Mammalia; Lagomorpha; Ochotonidae
Description: U2 spliceosomal RNA (ENSOPRG00000023110.1)
Rfam family: U2 spliceosomal RNA
About the family: U2 is a small nuclear RNA (snRNA) component of the spliceosome (involved in pre-mRNA splicing). Complementary binding between U2 snRNA (in an area lying towards the 5' end but 3' to hairpin I) and the branchpoint sequence (BPS) of the intron results the bulging out of an unpaired adenosine, on the BPS, which initiates a nucleophilic attack at the intronic 5' splice site, thus starting the first of two transesterification reactions that mediate splicing.
Source: RNAcentral